UGGUUAGGUAAUGGCUUACCAAGCCGUUGAUCGGUACGGGUUGUGAGAGCAAGAGCCCGGAGAUGGAACCUGAGACAAGGUUCCAGGCCCUACGGGGUGCAGCAGGCGCGAAACCUCCGCAAUGUGAGAAAUCGCGACGGGGGGAUCCCAAGUGCCAUUCUUAACGGGAUGGCUUUUCAUUAGUGUAAAGAGCUUUUGGAAUAAGAGCUGGGCAAGACCGGUGCCAGCCGCCGCAGUAACACCGGCAGCUCUAGUGGUAACAAUUUUUAUUGGGCCUAAAGCGUCCGUAGCCGGUUUAAUAAGUCUCUGGUGAAAUCCUGCAGCUUAACUGUGGGAAUUGCUGGAGAUACUAUUAGACUUGAGACCGGGAGAGGUUAGAGGUACUCCCAGGGUAGAGGUGAAAUUCUGUAAUCCUGGGAGGACCGCCUGUUGCGAAGGCGUCUAACUGGAACGGUUCUGACGGUGAGGGACGAAAGUUAGGGGCGCGAACCGGAUUAGAUACCCGGGUAGUCCUAACUGUAAACGAUGCGGACUUGGUGUUGGGGUGGCUUUGAGCUGCUUCAGUGCCGAAGGGAAGCUGUUAAGUCCGCCGCCUGGGAAGUACGGUCGCAAGACUGAAACUUAA
Molecule: ribosomal RNA, 625 nt
Filed under: uncultured archaeon
Lineage: Archaea
Description: bacterial SSU rRNA
Rfam family: Archaeal small subunit ribosomal RNA
Source: RNAcentral